GUGAAAUUGUUGAAAGGGAAACGCUUGAAACCAGUCAUGUGGUUGGAAAAUCAGUGUUCAAGAGGGGGGAAUGGGGGAGGUGUGGACCGCAAGGCUGCUCUUUUCUAUAUCUCUUUUGUUGGGCAUGCACUUUUUCUUCUGCAGGUCAACAUCAGUUUCUUUUGCUGGACAAAACUCUUGAGAAGGUAGCAGCUUAGGCUGUGUUAUAGCUCUGGAGCGAUACAGUGGAGGAGACUGAGGUUUUCGCAGCAUGUGCUCUCGGGCAAGGCCAAUUGGGUGCUAUGGGAUCGUUCGGGGUACAAUACAUGUAUUUUGCCUCGUGUCCUUUCUAUACUCGUUCAGUUGAGCUCUUCCAUGCUUAGGAUGUUGACUUAAUGGUUUUAAUCGACCCGUCUUGAAACACGGACCAAGGAGUCUAACAUAUAUGCAAGUGUUUGGGUGGCAAACCCAUGCGCGUAAUGAAAGUGAACGUAGGUGCCAUCCGCAAGGUGCAGCAUCGACCGAUCUUGAUAUUUUUGGAUAGAUUUGAGUAAGAGCAUAUAUGCUGGGACCCGAAAGAUGGUGAACUAUGCCUGAAUA
Molecule: ribosomal RNA, 579 nt
Filed under: uncultured fungus
Lineage: Eukaryota; Fungi
Description: LSU rRNA
Rfam family: Eukaryotic large subunit ribosomal RNA
Source: RNAcentral